This is a long non-coding RNA of Pogoniulus pusillus (Red-fronted tinkerbird), 926 nucleotides long. RefSeq lists it as uncharacterized. The transcript has 6 exons. The record is from RefSeq and is a predicted model, not a curated record. NCBI's taxonomy places the organism in Eukaryota, Metazoa, Chordata, Aves, Piciformes, Lybiidae.
CACAUGCAGCUCAGAUUACGUCUAAAAGCAGGUAAGCCAGCUGCAGCUCUUCUCAGCCCAAUUCAGAGCAAAGGCAGAGUCUCCUCUCCUACAGGAAGAAGAGGGGAGCAAGUGCAACCAUGCAGAGCACGGCAGCGUGAAUGCAAAGAACUCUCUUUGCCGGAGAGACUCUCCUCAAGACCUGGCUGGGAGGGAGGGAGUAGGUGCCCCUCUCAGAGCGCCAUUCGCCUGCCUGGAAGCAUCACUUCGUGGCAUUUUGCAAGCCUACGCUGAGAACAGAGCUGUCGGUGAAGCCAGGUGAAGCUGUAUGGACCAGCACUACCACUUCUCCAGCAGUCACUGGGAUGCACUGGCUAGGCACUGGGCAGUUUUGCCAUCUGCAUGUCCUUCAGUGUCAGCCUUCUCAUGUGCUUCAAAGAAGACUCCUUAGAAGUUUUCCAUGGAGUUGCCAGGCUCUGCAGACCAUAAGCUGGAAAGCAAUGAUUUAGGUUGUUGAAGACAGAAUCGUUUCUUUCUCAGGAGGCAAUUCUGUAUAAACCAGACUAAACAUGUCAAUCUAUGACUGUGACUGGGGAAGUGCUGGAGAAUGUCUCUCACAUCAUGAAUAAAAUGUUAAAUGGAGAACUUGGAAUGUCACCUCUAAAUGUCAAGAAGAGCCAUCAAAGGGGUCUGCUUGAGUCUGGUCCAAGACAGAAAGGGCCAUGUGAUGGACUUGCAAGCAACCUACCCAGUUUGAUGCUCAGAAACUUAAAGGCAAAGGGCAACAUUUUGAAGUGCUUUGCCUCACCUGGCUGCAAGAACAGAAGGAUGUAAAUAAUGCCAAGAUGUGUAUUUGAACAGCUUUAAAAUUCUAUUUGAAUGUAACAAACUCAUCAGAUGUGAUUUCUAAGAAAAGAAAAGAAAUGUCACCCAGAUUUAAAAAAUAA